Molecule: long non-coding RNA, 699 nt
Filed under: Suricata suricatta (meerkat)
Lineage: Eukaryota; Metazoa; Chordata; Mammalia; Carnivora; Herpestidae
Description: lncRNA (ENSSSUG00005005924.1)
Source: RNAcentral
AGCACUGAUCUGAGGAGUCACUGAGAUCAUAUUUGUUAAGUGCUUAGAACAGAGUCAGGCAUAGCGUAAUAGAAAUAUUAUAGAAAUAUUUGAUGAAUGAGUGAAUGAAUGGUGUCUGUCUUGUAUUUAGGCUUUCAGUAUUUGUGGAAAGAGGGAGUUGAUGAACGCUGGGUCUAAAUGUUCCUACAUUCCACAUCCUUGAUGCUGAGCAGUCCCCAGGGGCAGCCACAGCUGCUGAAGUGGAGCAUCUCAGGCUCCGGAGAUGGGACCUGCUGCAGUCGUCAGCACAGAGAGAACUCUCCAGAACUGGAGACCCAGGAAAAAGUGCUUUUCUCCUCUUCUUUUUGUUUUAUGUUUGUUGCACAUCGAAAUCCCAGAAUCAGCUACGAGAAGGAAGGGAGUGAAGACUUUCAGAAGAAUUGGAUUUCUCACUACUGAAGUAGUAUUUCACGCAGACACUGCAUGUACAGGAGAGAAGGUACUGUUUGUCUUACUGAUAGUAAUUUGGAUGUUUGAUUUAAGUAGAGAAACCUUGUAUUGUUGCCUGUGUGUAUUACAUCACAUUACCCUGAGACUAAUCCUUAGAAACUAGAUAAAUGGAACUCCAUGUUCUGAUAAAAUGGCUUUCUAGGAGAUUAUCCCAUGAAGAUAAGAGAACCCUGCCCUGUAUACCAAAGAAGGGGUAUGUCUUACACACAC